Molecule: ribosomal RNA, 243 nt
Filed under: uncultured Actinomycetales bacterium
Lineage: Bacteria; Bacillati; Actinomycetota; Actinomycetes; Actinomycetales
Description: partial 16S ribosomal RNA
Rfam family: Bacterial small subunit ribosomal RNA
Source: RNAcentral
UACUCGAGUGGCGAACGGGUGAGUAACACGUGGGUGAUCUGCCCUGCACUCUGGGAUAAGCCUGGGAAACUGGGUCUAAUACCGGAUAGGACCGCACUUUAGUGUGUGUGGUGGAAAGUUUUUUCGGUGUAGGAUGAGCCCGCGGCCUAUCAGCUUGUUGGUGGGGUAAUGGCCUACCAAGACGGCGACGGGCAGCCGGACUGAGAGGUUGGUCGGCCACAUUGGGACUGAGAUACGGCCCAG